Molecule: ribosomal RNA, 498 nt
Filed under: uncultured bacterium
Lineage: Bacteria
Description: bacterial SSU rRNA
Rfam family: Bacterial small subunit ribosomal RNA
Source: RNAcentral
ACUCAAAGGAAUAGACGGGGGCCCGCACAAGCAGUGGAGUAUGUGGUUUAAUUCGAAGCAACGCGAAGAACCUUACCAGGGCUUGACAUGCAGGUGAAGUAUUAAGAGAUUAAUAUGAUCGAAAGAACACCUGUGCAGGUGGUGCAUGGUUGUCGUCAGCUCGUGUCGUGAGAUGUUUGGUUAAGUCCAUUAACGAGCGCAACCCCUAUUGUUAGUUACUAACACGUAAAGGUGAGGACUCUAACGAGACUGCCGAUAAAGAAGUCGGAGGAAGGAGGGGACGAUGUAAAAUCAUCAUGCCCUAUAUGUCCUGGGCUACACACGUACUACAAUGGUCGUAACAGAGGGAAGCGAAGCAGAGAUGUGAAGCGAAACCCAAAAAGCGAUCACAGUUCGGAUUGAAGGCUGAAAUUCGCCUUCAUGAAGCCGGAAUUGCUAGUAAUUGCAGGUCAGCAUACUGCAGUGAAUACGUUCCCGGGCCUUGUACACACCGCCCGU